RNAcentral lists this long non-coding RNA (1606 nucleotides) under Homo sapiens (human). Its description in RNAcentral is "HSALNT0346800". The record is from RNAcentral. Lineage: Eukaryota; Metazoa; Chordata; Mammalia; Primates; Hominidae.
AAGCAUAAUAAGAGGCGUGUUCCACCACUGUGGACGGGGUCCCUGGGCUUUCCCCUAGGGUCCCAUCAGCUGCUUAUGUUCUACCUUCUGACGGAUCACAGGAGGAGCCUGCAGCGGAGGAGCCUCCUCCUCCUCAGCAUCAGACCUAAAGGGAGUGUCCUGCCUGAAGGACCGGCUCAAGGUCGCACUAACAGCUCUUGCUAACUCCUGUUCCAGGCUGUUUAUCUGGGCCUCCAAGUACCCUGCUUGCGCCUGGAGGUCUCUCACCCCCAGGUCCUGCUCAAAGCUGUGCACUUGGGCCCCCAGGCAUGCGGCUUGCUCCGGAAGGUCCCUUACCUGUGGCACUGAGCAUGUACUUCCUGCAGUGCAGUUAGAAAUGCCCAUCCGACUCUGCUUGCAAAGUUCCUUUAUUUAUAGGCACAGCUGCUUAAAGACUGUUACCGGAAAGGAAUCCUGAUCCAGACGCCAAGAGAGGGUUCUUGGACUCAUGCAAGAAAGACUUCAGAAUACGAGUUUUGAAUUUUUGAAUUGCUGUUAAAACUUUCAUCAUGAACACUGAAGUGAGUGAAAAGAGACUUUUGCAGUCAUUUUUUUGCUGGCUGCAGAUGACAGUGACACCCUGGGAGUUGAGAAAUGCUUGUAAGAUGGAAGGAGGCUGUGUCCCUGAAUGAUCACCUGGAAGAGAGCCACCUUAGCCAAUGAAACUCCUGCUAUGAAUGUUUGCUGAGCAAGAAAUAUACUUACUGCUUUAUAUGCCUUUGAAGCUAUAGGUUCAUAUUGUUACCACAAUUUAAAGUGCUAUAAUAAAAAGAGUUCAGGAAGCAGGCACAUGGAAGCAAUAAGAGCAACAAACAUUUACACAGUUCUCAGGUCCCUGGACCAUGAAGGGCCACAUCCAAGGAGCUACCCCAGGAGGCCUCUCAUUUGCAUUUGUCCCCGCUAAUGCAGGACAGAGAUCAUGGAAGUUGGGCCCGACUGGAUGAGAUUUGGGGGUCUUUGGAAGUGGAGAAUGUGUUUGCCCUGGGGAAGAGAGGUGAUGUCUAGGAGACCUCUUCACUCAGGGCAAGCUCUAUGACCUGCUUUGACUCCAGAAUGUGGUAGAAGUGGCAUCACAUAAAUUGCAGAGCCUAGGCUUCAAGAGACCUUGCAACUUGCCUCUCACUGACUUGAAGUGCUCCCAUCAGAGCAUCUUGUAAGGAGCAGGUGGAGCAUGUGGACAAGCCAUCCCCACCAGCCCCUGAGACAUGUGAGAGAGGCCAGAACAGGCCAUCCGGACCCCACUGUGCUGGUGGAUGAGACAGCAGAAGGAAUAUCAACCUACCAACAGAAUCCUGAGAAAUGCUCACUCUUACUUCAAGCUGCUGCAUUUUGAUGUUAUGAAACCAUAAAUAACUUAUGAAGUCAUCUUUGCUGACUUAAAGUUUUCCAUAACUUUAUUAUAACAUAUCAAAAUUAUGAAAAAUGUGAAAAGUAGAAAACUGAUGAAUUUUGCUUCUUCAUAUGGUCUUUAAGAAUCUCAAAGGCACUGAAGUUUUUUAUCUUUUCUGUCUUAGAAUAAAAAACCUUGAAUGAAAAUCUGCUUCUUGGAAAAGCAGCAAGGUUUAUG